Manis javanica (Malayan pangolin) is the source of this 2764-nucleotide non-coding RNA. The record is from RefSeq and is a predicted model, not a curated record. NCBI's taxonomy places the organism in Eukaryota, Metazoa, Chordata, Mammalia, Pholidota, Manidae.
UUUGGGAAGCAUCUCUCUAUGCUACAACAUGAAGACUGUGAAUGGCCAAAUGAAUAUGCUCCCUGGAGAAAAGAGACCCUGACUUUGGUUCCGCAUCCACCCAGUGAGACCAGUAGCAGCAGAGUGAAGAAUAAUGGCGCUCCAUCACUGGCUGAUACUGAUGUCACACAUUUCCCUUCCGCUGGACAUUUUUAAGGGGACUCGAUGACACAGACGCAUCAGCUGAAAAGAGGUCUGCUGGAAACCCUAGUCUGGAUCUUUAUUUGGUCCUGCAGCCAGAAAGCUGUUUGCAGAGGCGAGUGCCCUCAAAGGAAAACCUGCUUUUGUGAAUCAUGCCCUUUGUGAACAACAAAGUCCAUCCUCCUUUCAUGGACUUUGAUGAUGGAGAGUAUAUUGAGCCGAAGAGCUGCACCUGUCUUCCAGGUAAAAGAAGUGCAAUUUCCAAGCACACAGAGGUACCAGCUGGAGUGUUGGUGCUGAUUGCCUUGCUCCACAGCUGCGCAUCUUCACAGGUGAAGGCCAGGACUUUCCCAUGGCAAUUUUAGCAUAUUGUAAUUGUUCCAAGAUGUCCUAGAAGCUCCCUGCAUUUCUCUAAGGCUGUAACCCAGUCUGACGGACUCUCUUGGUAGGCACUGUGCACAGAUCACCUUAUCCCCAACCCUUUCAUGUGAAAGGCUGCUUGGGGAGACAGAACAUAAAGCAUUCCAUCAGACCCUGUGCUCCUGCGAGAGUGACACACUGACUCAUAGUCUCUUGGUUUUAUAGCCCCAAUUACCCUUAAAGGAUAAUUGGGUUUUAAUGUAUGUCCCAGUUUUUAUGUCACAAUCAAAGAAAACUGAAAUUUCGGUGAGUCGUAAUUAUCAUCAGCUGUGCUGUGGAAACAUUCUGAUGUGAGCUCUCAGUUUCCAAUAGGGAAAGCAAUUUCCUGAAGUGAUUACUGUAUACUUCAGUGUGGAGAAUGGUCUAUAUUUCUGGGUAGGGUGAGCCAGCCACAGAGCAGGGCAAUAAUUCCUAGAGAAAUGGCUAUUUUCUUUGCUAAUUCCAGGAGUCAAUAUGAAAGUGAAAUGGCAAUAAAUGUGCCACAUGAUUUCCUUUUAAUAACUGAGGGCUGUACCUGUUUAGGAAAAAAGAAAUGAAUGCUGCUUUUUAUUACUAGAGAGUCCAAGGUGGUAGUAAACCUAAUCCCAGGAAAAGUUCAGGUCAUGAAGUCCCACUGGAGAGAAAGAUACAGGGUCAUUCUAAAAUUACUGAAUGAUUAUGUAGUCUCCUGCUGGGAACAAUCUGACAGUUAGCUAUGGGAAUUGUGUGCCACCAAAAUAGCUAACUGCAAGGAUGCGCUCAUCAUGAGAACAUCCACUCCUGGAAAUUCAGAGAUUCACAGUUUCACCUUUUGCAUGUGUAAUGCCUAUGGGAUAUAAAUAACUCUCCCCUAAAACCUUCUUCUUGAGUAACAUAUUUGCAUAAAGCUGCAGCCUCACAAGACUUCUGACACCUUUCUUAAAAAAAAAAAAAGUUGUUCAUCUUAAAGAACAGGCAGAUUGAGAUUUAUAGGAAGGGGUGGGCAAGUCCCAGUCCCCACUCUUUUUGUUCAAGCCAUGUUCCCAGCCUUCCCCUUGCCAACAGCAGAGAAGCUCAUACACCCGUUUGCAAUAGGGUGUAUUUACAAUUUAUUUCAUUAAUGUGUUUGCCUACCCCUAGGAAAAGCUCCGAAUGGGUAUUUGGAGGUAAGGGGACUUUGGGAUCAAGUAAAGGGUACGGUCUAAGGUUCUAGGGCCACCCACCAGGCAAAGAACUCCUGGAUGUGUCUCUUGGAUCAUGGUUAGUGGGGAGGGUUGGUCUGGGAGUAUAUUCUCCUUGAGAUCAAGAGCUUGUCAACUGUGAAACUCAGAGGAAAAGGCUGGAGCUCAAAAGUACAAUAUGCUGCUGAACAAGGGCGCCAAUGUCAGCUCCAAAAGAUCCGCUCAGAAAGAGCUCUGUUAGUCCCCAGAAAGAUCUUCUAUAGCUCACAGGAGCUGCUUUCAAUCCUUAGAGGAGCAUUUUCCCCACAGCUAGGGAAAACAGUAAUAGGGAGAAGAAAUCCUCUCACUAAAGAAAUCAAUGCCUUCUUUUCAACAUCAAACUUGGAUCUUAUUUCUUCAAAAAUGUCAAAAGGGCAAAUACUGAAAACAGUCAGAAGCAAAACCGUUGUGGUUUUGGGAGCAAAAGAAUUCUUCGUAAUGGCAGACGAGGAGUCACUGCAUGGGGAGAGUAUGGAUUCGUGGAAUGAGGGAACCUGAGGGCUCACCACAAUUGCCCCAAGUUGAAUAUAAAGUGGGGAAAGAAAACACCAGCUCCAAACGUCAGGGGUAGCACCCACGUCCGCGCUUUCUUUUGGAAUCGAAAAAUGUGCGCGCCCCCUAGUGGCCUAUAGGGAAACCGCCGGCGCUAUCUGAAUCGCAGGUGUGUGAGUUCGGGAGGAGUGGGGCGUUUGGAACAGCUCUCAAUUCAAAUACAUUUCGAGCUGCAUUUAUCUUUAGUUUUAAUAAUCCUUUUAAAAUAGAUAAGCAAGGUAUUUGAUUCACGGUAGUGUUUAUAGGGGGAAGGGUGCCAAGAGAAGAAAGAUGAUGAUAAACUUCAUGGGGGUGUGGAUCUCUUUUCUGUGGCCGUAGUCCUAAUGCUUAACCCCUGGUGCGGGCUCAUUCAUCAGAUCUUUCAUUAUGAUCCAUUCAAUCAAAAUCUGGAAAAUAAAUGACGAUAAUGGUAAACGAUUUCAUAUAAAAAAAAU